Molecule: long non-coding RNA, 343 nt
Organism: Saccostrea cuccullata (small rock oyster)
Lineage: Eukaryota; Metazoa; Mollusca; Bivalvia; Ostreida; Ostreidae
Exons: 2
Source: RefSeq, a predicted model, not a curated record
GUUUACUCAUGAUAGGGCUUAUUCCAUCAUGUACAUAUGUAGUUACUUGGGAAUGUGCCUCUUCCAAAAAGUUUACCAGAUCCCUCAUCUAAAAAAUGAAGGCCAUUAUAGCAUCCAAAGCAAGUCUCUUAGUAUAGGCUUAGCUACUUGGAAAUGGAUCUGCUCAAAUAAAAAAUUGAACCGGGAAAUCAGUGCUAACACCAGGAGCAUAAGCUCUUUCAGACUUUGUCAAGGUGAGCUAAUUGUAAAGGUGAAAAUGAAGAAAAUCAAAUCACUGCAAACUAUAUAAAUGCACAUAUAUGAUUAGUCUGUUUCACAAAAAUUUGAAAAAAAAGAAAAGAAA